GACAACAGGGAUUGCCUCAGUAACGGCGAGUGAAGCGGCAACAGCUCAAAUUUGAAAUCUGGCCCCCCGGCCCGAGUUGUAAUUUGCAGAGGAUGCUUCUGGCGCGGUGCCUUCCAAGUCCCCUGGAACGGGGCGCCAUAGAGGGUGAGAGCCCCGUCCGGUUGGCCGCCAAGCCUGUGUGAAGCUCCUUCGACGAGUCGAGUAGUUUGGGAAUGCUGCUCUAAAUGGGAGGUAGACCCCUUCUAAAGCUAAAUACCGGCCAGAGACCGAUAGCGCACAAGUAGAGUGAUCGAAAGAUGAAAAGCACUUUGAAAAGAGGGUUAAACAGUACGUGAAAUUGUUGAAAGGGAAGCGCUUGUGACCAGACGUGCACCGGGUGUUCAGCGGGCGUUCUCGCCCGUGCAUUCGCCCCGGUGCAGGCCAGCGUCGGUUCGGGCGGGGGGAUAAAGGCGCCAGGAACGUAUCUCCCCCGGGAGUGUUAUAGCCUGGCGCGUCAUGCCCCCGCCUGGACCGAGGUUCGCGCUCCGCAAGGACGCUGGCGUAAUGGUCCCCAGCGGCCCGUCUUGAAACACGGACCAAGGAGUCGAGGUUUUACGCGAGUGUCUGGGUGUCAAACCCGCACGCGUAAUGAAAGUGAACGUAGGUGGGAGCUUCGGCGCACCACCGACCGAUCCUGAUGUUUUCGGAUGGAUUUGAGUAGGAGCGUAGGGCCUCGGACCCGAAAGAUGGUGAACUAUACUUGGAUAGGGUGAAGCCAGAGGAAACUCUGGUGGAGGCUCGCAGCGGUUCUGACGUGCAAAUCGAUCGUCAAAUCUGAGUAUGGGGGCGAAAGACUAAUCGAACCAUCUAGUAGCUGGUUACCGCCG
RNAcentral lists this ribosomal RNA (866 nucleotides) under Codinaea lithocarpi. Its description in RNAcentral is "Dictyochaeta sp. RHP-2020b partial large subunit ribosomal RNA". It matches the Rfam family "Eukaryotic large subunit ribosomal RNA", at positions 56 to 963 of the family's 3401-position model. Lineage: Eukaryota; Fungi; Ascomycota; Sordariomycetes; Chaetosphaeriales; Chaetosphaeriaceae. The record is from RNAcentral.